This 550-nucleotide ribosomal RNA is filed under the name uncultured bacterium. Its description in RNAcentral is "partial 16S ribosomal RNA". It matches the Rfam family "Bacterial small subunit ribosomal RNA", at positions 355 to 893 of the family's 1533-position model. The record is from RNAcentral.
UGGGGAAUAUUGCACAAUGGGCGCAAGCCUGAUGCAGCCAUGCCGCGUGUGUGAAGAAGGCCUUCGGGUUGUAAAGCACUUUCAGCGAGGAGGAAGGUGGUGAGCUUAAUACGCUCAUCAAUUGACGUUACUCGCAGAAGAAGCACCGGCUAACUCCGUGCCAGCAGCCGCGGUAAUACGGAGGGUGCAAGCGUUAAUCGGAAUUACUGGGCGUAAAGCGCACGCAGGCGGUUUGUUAAGUCAGAUGUGAAAUCCCCGGGCUCAACCUGGGAACUGCAUUUGAAACUGGCAAGCUAGAGUCUCGUAGAGGGGGGUAGAAUUCCAGGUGUAGCGGUGAAAUGCGUAGAGAUCUGGAGGAAUACCGGUGGCGAAGGCGGCCCCCUGGACGAAGACUGACGCUCAGGUGCGAAAGCGUGGGGCAGCAAACAGGAUUAGAUACCCCUGGUAGUCCACGCUGUAAAACGAUGUCGAUUUUGGAGGUUGUGCCCUUGAGGCGUGGCUUCCGGAGCUAACGCGUUAAAUCGACCGCCUGGGGAGUACGGCCGCAAGG